This 746-nucleotide long non-coding RNA is filed under the name Nicotiana benthamiana. Its description in RNAcentral is "long non-coding RNA (NBEN_LNC035604)". Lineage: Eukaryota; Viridiplantae; Streptophyta; Magnoliopsida; Solanales; Solanaceae. The record is from RNAcentral.
AAUAUAAAUAAAAAAGUAAAAUGAAAAAGAAAAAAAAAGACUUUUCAACUUUUUUCGUCUUCCCAGCAAAACUCCAACCCAAUGUUUUCAUUUAUUAUCUUAAUUUUUCUUCCCUUCCCGUUUUGUCUGUUUUUUUCCUUCAUCUUCCUCUUCAAUAAUUUUUUCUAGUCUCCAUGUGUAUUAGCACUAUCUUCUACACAAUCAAAUCCAAACUCAUGUGAUACCUAGGAUGGGAGAAGCCUCAAAUAAUUCGUCUCACUCUGAUUCUUUCAUUCUAAGUUGGGUCUCGAUUAACCUGUAUCUGAGUGACCAAAAAGGGACAAACCAUACAAAACCCAGCCUCUUAGUUCUUUCCUUUAAUUUAAAACAGAAGCUGGAAAGAGGAUACAUCAAUUUUGCAAGGAGAAUUGGGAACAGAGAAGUAAGGAAGAGAGAUAUCAAGAGAGACGAUGGGUAAGUAGGGGAGAUAAAUGGGUGGGUAGGGGGAUGUGGAAAGACAGGUGGGUUGCAGGGGCUGCCAAGCAAGAUUUGUGUAGUAUGUUUCGGGCCUUUUCUUUUUCCUUUUUGUAUUUGUAAUUUUUUUAUCAUUUUGUAUUUAAAAAUAGGACCCACAAGUAACACAUGUCAAGUAAUAAAUAGCCUAACAUGAUGUGUUGUACAUGUCAGCACAUUUGGUAUACACGCUCUGGUGGAUGUGUUUAUUAGUACUCGUUUUUCAAGUUUGAGUGUUCAAAUGAGAAAGUUCA